This 1447-nucleotide unclassified non-coding RNA is filed under the name Hevea brasiliensis (rubber tree). Lineage: Eukaryota; Viridiplantae; Streptophyta; Magnoliopsida; Malpighiales; Euphorbiaceae. The record is from RNAcentral.
UUUUAUUAAGAAUAUAUAUAUAUAUGCACAUCAACAUCACAGGGAAGGGCAAAAGAGAAUAUUUCAACUGUGGUCCAACAAAAAGGAUGAGAAUACAGAGAAGGAUUAACAAGAAGGUUCAGUCUUAAAAGAAUCAAUCAAAGGUAAGUUAUUUUUUUGCAAGUGGAAUGCAAAUGCAUAAACAAUGCUUCAUAAAUGAAUUGUGCCAGUUAGAAUUUUGAGGCUGCAUUAAGUCGCAUAAUACAAGAGCACAUGAUAAAAAGAAUCUGGCAUAGUCUAUUAGGCUGUAUUAUCAUUUUCUUGUAGAAAGGUCUGUAGCAGAAACAACUUCUUCAAUGCAACCCUUUAGCAGAAAAAGGUGCAGGGGAACCAUUUCAAUAUGUCAAAAUAAGAAAUAGAUCCAUGCUGUUUUUAUAUUUCUUAACAGGAUUAACCCCAAGAGAUACUUUUUCUUCUUUUGCUCUAUUGGCACUUUUUUCCACCACCCAAUUGACAUUGGUGAAGUGUUGCAGCCGCUUUCCAGCCAGCCUGUCAAAGCCUCUGCUUCACAACUAAAUCCAUCUGCUGCCACAUGAGGAUCUUGCAUCACAGCAAAAUAGGACGAAAGAAAUAGAAAGGAGACUCUUCUUUCUCUUGAGAACCAAAUUGGACGGGUGCUGAGCAAAAUGCUCUAAUUGGUUCGAGCACCCUUCACAUCCACACCUCUGAUGCAAGGUUUUGUCGGCUACUUCGGUUCCUUGCACAGCAACUCAAAGCUAGUUGAGCCAAUUGUUUGGCUUGUACAAAUGGCCAGUUCCCUGCUAGGGGAUUCAAAAAGGAAGCCAGAUUUCUGAUUCCAGACAACCACUCGAGUCACAAAAGCAAAUCAGCUCAACUCAAUUGAGAGCCACCGGACACAUAUAGAUACGAUCAAUUGUAUUUGAAUUGAGAUAAAAAGGGGAAAAUUUCUGAAUACUUCAGUAAAUGGGUAGAAAUGGCAAUUGAAAGAAACUUACAUUCUAGUUAUAAAAGUAAUCGAGGGACUGUUGGGGAUUGAGAUAUGAGGAAAAAUUGGAAAUCCUUUUCUCUUUGGGAAAGCAGAAGAAGAGCCCAGCGCCAAUAAUCUGACAUUCUAUGGGGAUCACCAAAGAGAAGCAAAUGGAAGAGUGCGGGGUUUGAUUUGAGAUCUCACUCCACCCACUCUCUCUCCUGCUCUCACUCUCUCCCUCUCAUGAUAAUGCAAACCUCGUCUACCAAGCAAAAAAAUUUACCCAAAUUUUAUCAUAUCCAUGUGUACCUCUCACCCUCCAAUUAGAGAUGUGGCAAUGUAAGUUGAAGAGCAAUUGACAGAAUUUAGAGAUGGAAUGCCUAUUCCAAGAAUAAAUUCAAAAUGCAGAUUCUGAUUUCUUGUGAAAAUGAAAAAUUGAUUCUAAAUUUCUAUUCCAAGAGUUAAUUCAAGUUAUCAACA